AUUUUGGUGGAGAAGAGGUAUUUUUUUCCUGUGGAUGAAUCCAAUAAUAUAUUCUUCAGGGGUAUAACAUACCUGGCUGCAAUGAGAGUGUACUACCAUAGUCUCUGUGAAGCUCAGUAAGUGGAGCACACACCUCUGGCAGAAGCCUCCUACCUGACCAGAGGUGAGGCGAGCCUCUGGAACUUCAGACAGACCAGAAGCUAUGCACAUUGCUAAAACUCCUGCCCCAAAUAUGGACAGCAACCCCCUAUUGAACCAGAAGCCAUCCAGGACUUCAGAAUUUCAGCCCCCAACUUUGGCACAGACCCUCUAAUUCACCAGAGUCCAUUUCAGCCAGAAGAUCAGAAAGGAAACAAAAACCAAAGAAGAAAACACCCAUCAAAUAAAGACAAACCAAGCUAUUGGCGCCUUGACUUAUAAUAACUCUAAAUCCAGAUAUCUAAAGGACAGUGCAAGAAUACAAUCAAAAAUAGUGAGGAUAAUACGUCACCACCAGAGACCAGGAAUAUGACUACAGCAAGUUCUGAAUAUUCUAACACAGCUGAAGCACACACACACAAAAAAAAAAAUCUUAAAACCAAAUUUAUGAAAAUGAUAGUGGUCCUUAAAGAGGAAAUCAAUAAAUCCCUUAAAGAAUUAAUUAAAAGACAAUAAAAAAAUUGGAGGAAAUCAAUAAAUCACUUAAAGAAUGUCAAGAAGGCCAAGAGAAAAUUAACAAACUGUUGAAGGAAAUGAACAAAAACUGUUCAAGGCCUGAAAUGGUAAUAGAAUCAAUAAAGAAAACAAAACUGAGGGAACUCUGAAAAUGGAAAAUCUAGAUAUGCAAACAGAACGUACAGACACAAGCAUUGGCAAUAGAAUACAAUAGAUGGAAAGAGAAUCUCAGGCAUCAAAGAUGUGACAGAAGAAAUAGAUACAUCAUCAGUCAAAGAAAAUAUUAAAUAAAAAAAUUCUGACACAAAACAUUCAGGAAGUCUGGUACACUAUGAAAACACCAAACCUAAGAAUAAUAGGAAUAGAAGAAAAAGAAGAUUUCUGGCUCAAAUUUUAACAAGAUUAUAGAAGAAAAAUUUCCAAAUCAAAAGGACAUGCCUAUAAAGGUACAAGAAGCUUAGAGAACACCAAAUAUCUUCGACCAGAAAAGAAAG
This is a long non-coding RNA of Peromyscus maniculatus bairdii (prairie deer mouse), 1148 nucleotides long. RefSeq lists it as uncharacterized. The record is from RefSeq and is a predicted model, not a curated record. Lineage: Eukaryota; Metazoa; Chordata; Mammalia; Rodentia; Cricetidae.